Molecule: ribosomal RNA, 827 nt
Filed under: Escherichia coli
Lineage: Bacteria; Pseudomonadati; Pseudomonadota; Gammaproteobacteria; Enterobacterales; Enterobacteriaceae
Description: partial 23S ribosomal RNA
Rfam family: Bacterial large subunit ribosomal RNA
Source: RNAcentral
GGGUUGUGAGGUUAAGCGACUAAGCGUACACGGUGGAUGCCCUGGCAGUCAGAGGCGAUGAAGGACGUGCUAAUCUGCGAUAAGCGUCGGUGAGGUGAUAUGAACCGUUAUAACCGGCGAUUUCCGAAUGGGGAAACCCAGUGUGUUUCGACACACUAUCAUUAACUGAAUCCAUAGGUUAAUGAGGCGAACCGGGGGAACUGAAACAUCUAAGUACCCCGAGGAAAAGAAAUCAACCGAGAUUCCCCCAGUAGCGGCGAGCGAACGGGGAGGAGCCCAGAGCCUGAAUCAGUGUGUGUGUUAGUGGAAGCGUCUGGAAAGGCGUGCGAUACAGGGUGACAGCCCCGUACACAAAAAUGCACAUAUUGUGAGCUCGAUGAGUAGGGCGGGACACGUGGUAUCCUGUCUGAAUAUGGGGGGACCAUCCUCCAAGGCUAAAUACUCCUGACUGACCGAUAGUGAACCAGUACCGUGAGGGAAAGGCGAAAAGAACCCCGGCGAGGGGAGUGAAAAAGAACCUGAAACCGUGUACGUACAAGCAGUGGGAGCCUCUUAAUGGGGUGACUGCGUACCUUUUGUAUAAUGGGUCAGCGACUUAUAUUCUGUAGCAAGGUUAACCGAAUAGGGGAGCCGAAGGGAAACCGAGUCUUAACUGGGCGUUAAGUUGCAGGGUAUAGACCCGAAACCCGGUGAUCUAGCCAUGGGCAGGUUGAAGGUUGGGUAACACUAACUGGAGGACCGAACCGACUAAUGUUGAAAAAUUAGCGGAUGACUUGUGGCUGGGGGUGAAAGGCCAAUCAAACCGGGAGAUAGCUGGUUCUCCCCGA